UCAUUGGCUGAGUACAUUUUGUGGUGGAAACUCUUGCAAGAGGUCUGUUUUCUCAAGUCGUCUUCCAGGACGAAACGCGUUAACACCACCACUUAAAAGGCGGUCCUCUAGGCAUUUUAAAAUAAAAAUGGAGUCAUUCCCUCUCA
Long non-coding RNA from Rana temporaria (common frog), 146 nucleotides. RefSeq lists it as uncharacterized. Lineage: Eukaryota; Metazoa; Chordata; Amphibia; Anura; Ranidae. The transcript has 2 exons. The record is from RefSeq and is a predicted model, not a curated record.